RNAcentral lists this transfer RNA (75 nucleotides) under compost metagenome. RNAcentral's name for it is "tRNA-Asp". It matches the Rfam family "tRNA". From Rfam's summary of the family: Transfer RNA (tRNA) molecules are approximately 80 nucleotides in length. Their secondary structure includes four short double-helical elements and three loops (D, anti-codon, and T loops). The record is from RNAcentral.
GCGGGGUUAGUUCAAUGGUAGAACAGCGGCUUGUCGCGCCGCCGACGAGGGGUUCGAUCCCCCCAUCUCGCGCCA